Molecule: long non-coding RNA, 1197 nt
Organism: Caretta caretta (loggerhead turtle)
Lineage: Eukaryota; Metazoa; Chordata; Testudines; Cheloniidae
Source: RefSeq, a predicted model, not a curated record
AACAAAGGGUCUGUCUGUGUGUGUGAUGCUUUUGUCGGGAACAGAACAGGAAUGGAGUAUUAGAACUUAUUAGUUUUGCCUAGAGGGAUUCCCUGUGUUUUGAAUCUGAUUACCCUGUAAGGAAACACUUGAAAUUCAUUGGGAGAAAGCCUUUGGAUCAGAUUAGUGCCUAUUCUUUGACCCAAUAAAUUCAUUUCAGGCUUAGCUGGGUUAUAAACUAUUUAAAAUGGUCAUUUCCCUUGUGCCACUUGCAUCAUCAGCAAAAAUGUUGGCAACCUUCCAGAAAUAGUAACUGACUACAAACAUUCUAAGCUAAGGCAAAGCCCACCACCAAAGCAGCAUUGCCGCCAUCACCACCACCACCAAAUGCUGCACUGGGAACACUUGGAAUACAGCCCAGCUGCUGCCAUAACAAAUGUAUUUGGAAAAGAAGGGAGAGAGAUGGUUGGGCUCUCCUUGACAACUGCUCCUCUUUAUUCCUCCCCAAGAUUCAGCAUAUGAAUAACAACCUUCUCUCGCUGUCAACUCACAGUUAGACCUGUAGCACAAAUGGCAUAAUUCUGUCCUAUAAAGGACAGUCUUGUGGCCCAUUACUAGAGAUUAUAACAUUGUUAAUGAUGUGGAAAAUGCAGAAGUGUUCAAUAAAUAUUUCUGUUCUGUAUUUGGAAAUGUAUAUGUAUGCACAUGUUUUUUUGAAAGAAGCAGGAUAAUGUAGUUGUAUCAUAUGAGGAUGGUGAAAUACAUUCCUGUCCAUUAAUUACUACGGGCAAUGUUAAAAAAAAACAUCUAUUAAAUCAGUAGGCCCUGAUAACUUGCGCCCAAGAGUCCUAAAACACCUGGUUGAGGUGAUCUCUGGUCAACUAAUGAUGAUUUUGAAUAAAUCUUGGAACACCUGGAAAAUUCAAGAAGAGUGCUAAUGUCACACCAAUAUUCAAAAAAGACAAGCAGGAUAACCUAGAUAACCACAGGCCAAUUAGCUUAAUGUCAAUCCUUGGCAAAAUAAUGGAAAAGCAGAUAUGGGAUUCAAUAAAUAAAAAAUUAAAGCUUAGGAAUAUAAUUGAUGCCAAUGAACAUGGUUUUAUGGAAAAUAGGUAAUGUCAAACAAACCUGAAUUCAUACUUUGAUAAGAUUACAAGUUUGGUAGAUAAUGGUAACUGUAAGAUGUACAGGUAGAUUAAAUACAUAUAGACCAGUGGU